AAGUCGUAACAAGGUUUCCGUAGGUGAACCUGCGGAAGGAUCAUUAUUGAUUGCGAAUCGUCGCCUUCUGUGCUGGCCGGCUUUGGCAAGUGCACGUUGGUGGCUUUCAUCCAAUACCCUGUGGACCUUUGGCCUCUUGCUAGCUUCGGCCGGCAGAGGAUUUUUACACAAACUCGAAUGUAAUGAAAUUUAUUGUCGUGCGCAAGCACUAAUGUACAACUUUCAACAACGGAUCUCUUGGCUCUC
Molecule: unclassified non-coding RNA, 246 nt
Filed under: Sebacina sp.
Lineage: Eukaryota; Fungi; Basidiomycota; Agaricomycetes; Sebacinales; Sebacinaceae
Description: partial contains small subunit ribosomal RNA, internal transcribed spacer 1, and 5.8S ribosomal RNA
Rfam family: Eukaryotic small subunit ribosomal RNA (bases 1-46)
Source: RNAcentral